Molecule: long non-coding RNA, 1070 nt
Organism: Macrobrachium nipponense
Lineage: Eukaryota; Metazoa; Arthropoda; Malacostraca; Decapoda; Palaemonidae
Exons: 7
Source: RefSeq, a predicted model, not a curated record
GCUUCGUGUCUAGGUCAGCGUCUGGGGAGUGUGAAACGUUGGUGACGUCAUCAGAUCACCAACGGUCAGUAUUUAAUUACCCGUCAUCGCGUGACUACGUCUCUUCGCCACUCCAGUUUUCAUUUCCUUUAAACCGGUAUUUCACCCACGGUACGUGAUGUACGGUUAUCUAACAGUGCCCUUGGUUAUAAAGCUUACGUCGAGAAGCUAUGCAGAGUAGCGGUAUGAAAUCAAAUACAGGUUGUAAUUCACGGAAUAAAGACCGGAGUUCUCUAUCAAGUCUCAUAAACACAAGUUACUGUACCACUUGCUGGCCGAGAAAAACGCAUCACAUUACUGUACCACUUGCUAGUUGCUUGCCUAGAAAAACACAUCAAGUUACUGUACCACUUGCUAGUCGAGAAACUGACGGCAGCUGGUAUAGGCCCAGGACUACCGAGCUGCAAAUGUUCCCAGUUGCAAUACGAAGGAUCUCCGUGCCAGUGAUGAUUAUACUACAACGAACAUUCUUGACUUCCACAUUUAAUAAUGACGCAGUUUCAAAGAUAGAGCUUCGAACUAUCAUAAGCUUAUGCAGCUCUUACAAAAGAGAAAAAGAAACUCCUCCACCCAGAAACCCCUCCACUCAGAAACCCCCCACCCCGACCCCGAAAAAAAAGGGUCUUCAGACAAGUAAGAACCACUGAAUCGACUGCUUUCAAUAUCUGUUGAACAGGAGACUUUGCUUCCAUUAGUUCAAGUAACUGAUCCUCAAGGCCGAAUUUUUGUCUUCGCUUUUAAGAAGAAGCCGUACACCAUCCAGGUUUUGCACUGAUGGGUAGUUCGAGCUAGGGCCACUUCGGAACACAGGAGUGAUUUGCCAAGAAGACGUAAACUAAAAAGAUACAAAAAAAGUAAGUGAGAACAUUCCAUCUUGUUAAUUAAAGUCUAAGAACCAGUUCGAUGAUAUCAUCACUUCUAGUAGCGGACAGAAUCUUGCAACUGGAAGCACAAGGUUUUUCUCAGUACAUUUACUUGAUUUUGGUUUCCCUUUUCUGAAGGAUUAUAAUGUGAAUCUGAUACACAAACAA